This is a long non-coding RNA of Homo sapiens (human), 554 nucleotides long. Ensembl annotates it as long intergenic non-protein coding RNA 1226. NCBI's taxonomy places the organism in Eukaryota, Metazoa, Chordata, Mammalia, Primates, Hominidae. The record is from Ensembl.
ACUGGCUCUGCUAGCUUCCACCUGGGCUCCAACUGCCAGACCCCCCCAGAGCUUCACACAAGCUAUCGCUGACUGCCGGUGCAUGUUGGAAAUGGGCCACAGGGCUGGGCAUGAUAUGAGCUGCCUGGACAUUGGAGGGGGCUUCCCCGGAAUGGAGGGCUCCGGGCCCAAGUUUGAGGAGGGAUAAUUCUAAUGCCUACCUGCAGGGUGCCUCGGGGAUGAAAGGACUGAUGCAGCAGUUGAGAACAACAAGCAAUAACAACCAUACGAAGAAUCUAGCAAACUCAGACUUUACUUCUCCUUUUCGUGGUCCUGGAAACAGCUCAGAAUAAAGUGGAUCUGGACCUCUACAGAAGAGAGGGAGCUCCAGAUUCCAGGCCUCAGCAGUUGAGCUGGUUCACCUUGGAAUCUGACUCUGACAAGCAAAAGGAAGCAGAGUCUGAUCAUCUUUCCAGCACCUGCCAGGAGAACAGGCAGUGGCAGUGUGACCAAGAACCAUGCCUGGUGGAUCCAGACAUGAUCAAAGCCAUCAACCAGGGCAACUAUGGGUGAGA